CCUACGGGAGGCUGCAGUAAGGAAUAUUGGUCAAUGGACGAAAGUCUGAACCAGCCAUCCCGCGUGCAGGAUGAAAGCCCUAUGGGUUGUAAACUGCUUUUAGCAGAGAAGAAAAGCUUUCAUUAAUGAGAGUCUGACGGUAUCUGCAGAAUAAGCACCGGCUAACUCCGUGCCAGCAGCCGCGGUAAUACGGAGGGUGCCAGAGUUAUCGGGAAUAACGGGGGCGAAAGGGUGCGUAGACGGAGUUUGUGAAAUCUUGUCGCUUAACGAUACAAUUGCCAAUGAUACUGGUACUCUUGAAUUGGGUUGAGGUUAGCGGAAUGUGACAUGUAGCGGUGAAAUGCAUAGAUAUGUCAUGGAACACCAAUUGCGAAGGCAGCUAACUGGGCCUUGAUUGACGCUGAGGCACGAAAGCGUGGGUAGCGAACAGGAUUAGAUACCCCUGUAGUC
This 450-nucleotide ribosomal RNA is filed under the name uncultured bacterium. RNAcentral describes it as "partial 16S ribosomal RNA". It matches the Rfam family "Bacterial small subunit ribosomal RNA", at positions 338 to 795 of the family's 1533-position model. The record is from RNAcentral.